This 506-nucleotide ribosomal RNA is filed under the name Zygoneura contractans. Its description in RNAcentral is "partial 16S ribosomal RNA". Lineage: Eukaryota; Metazoa; Arthropoda; Insecta; Diptera; Sciaridae. The record is from RNAcentral.
GUCUUUUUGUUUUUUAUAUAAAGUCUAACCUGCCCAUUGAAAAUUUUUAAAGGCUGCGGUAUUUUGACUGUACAAAGGUAGCAUAAUCAUUUGUUUUUUAAUUGAAAACUUGUAUGAAUGGUUGAAUGAAAAAUUAACUUUUUUAUUUAAAAUAUUGAAAUUUACUUUUUAAUAAAAAGGUUAAAAUUUUUUUAAAAGACGAGAAGACCCUAUAGAGUUUUAUAAUUUAUUGUUUUUAUUUUAAUUAGUUUAAUUAAAAAUUUAAUUAUUAAAUUAUUUUAUUGGGGUGAUAAUAUAAUUUAAAAAACUUAUAUUUAAUAUAACCAUUAAUAUAUGAUUAAUUGAUCCAAUUUUAUUGAUUAAAAAAUUAAAUUACCUUAGGGAUAACAGCGUAAUUUUUUUUUAAGUUCAUAUUAAUAAAAAAUUUUGCGACCUCGAUGUUGGAUUAAGAUUAAAUUUUAGGUGCACCAGUUUAAAAUUUAAGUCUGUUCGACUUUUAAAUUCUU